UACGAAGGGGACUAGCGUUGCUCGGAAUCACUGGGCGUAAAGGGCGCGUAGGCGGCCAAGUAAGUUGGGGGUGAAAGCCCGUGGCUCAACCACGGAAUUGCCUUCGACACUGCUUGGCUUGAGACCGGAAGAGGUGAGUGGAACUGCGAGUGUAGAGGUGAAAUUCGUAGAUAUUCGCAAGAACACCAGUGGCGAAGGCGGCUCACUGGUCCGGAUCUGACGCUGAGGCGCGAAAGCGUGGGGAGCAAACAGG
Molecule: ribosomal RNA, 253 nt
Filed under: uncultured bacterium
Lineage: Bacteria
Description: partial 16S ribosomal RNA
Rfam family: Bacterial small subunit ribosomal RNA
Source: RNAcentral